RNAcentral lists this long non-coding RNA (2001 nucleotides) under Cinara cedri. Lineage: Eukaryota; Metazoa; Arthropoda; Insecta; Hemiptera; Aphididae. The record is from RNAcentral.
GAUCGAAGAUACCUGUUAUCAUUCUAAAGAUCGCAAGUUUAAACCCGAGUUUUGAAAAUCAUUUUUGCUAAACCACAUGGUGUAGGUAACUCAGAAAAAUAAAAUCUAACUACUAUGCAAUUUAUUGUACUUUGAAUAGGUACUUUUAUUUAAUAGGUACCUAAUCUGUGGAUAAAAUGUCUAGAUUAAGUAUAAAUACUUGAAAAGAUAGUGGUUUACUGUAGUCAUUUUUUUUUUUAAAAAGGAAUAGUAUCAAAUUUUGUUUAUAUAAAAACUAUUGUUUUAGAAGGUUAAAAGGAUAAUACAAAUAUUUACAGAAAAUUUAAUGUUUCAGAUUGUGCAAUAUGGACAAUCUUCUAGAAAUUAUUUUCAAGAUAACAAACAACUUUCGAUGCAAAUCUAAACAUUAACCAGGAACAGAUGAGUGAGGAAGCCAAUAAUAUUAUCGAGAACACAAGAAGUACAAAAGAAUAUUUUGAUUAUGGAAAGUUUAUUGAAAACAGAUUAAUGAACUUCUCUUUAAGAACUGAAGAGUCUGUCCAAUAUAAAUUUUCCAAAAAUAUUUUGAAUGUCACCCAAGGAUAUUAUGAAUGAAAUCAGUGCAUUAUAUUAAUUCUAGUAUCAUUUAAUUUUAUUCAAUUUAAUUUAAUGAUACCCAUGCAUUAUGAUAAUAAUUAAUGUACAAUCCGAAUUUUUCCGCCAUUACUAUUUUUCUCAAUACUAAUUUUAUUAAAUGCUGUAAAAACAGUAUUAUAGUAUCAGACCCAAAUAAAGGUGUAGGAGGCAUGGAUUAACUACAAGAUUUAUGGUCCGUAUUUAAUAGAAUUCGAACUGGACAGGAACUGGUGCGGCUCCAUAAUGUUAAAGUAGGGCUUAAGUACAGCCUUGUGUACAACUAUGGUCGCGAUAACCAAACAUUUCACCAGAUUGUGACAUACGAACCACUUAAGGGGCUUUGUUAGCAACGGUAUCAAAUUUAAUAAGAUUCUUUUCGGACUAAUAUUUCAAAGCGUAUUCACGCAUCUCCUUUUCGAUGCUAAGUAAGUGAACCGCCUGCAUUUGACACUUUAAACUGCUUUUCCUAUAGGCUCAGAUAUGAUAGGGUAGAUUUAUAGGUACCUACAUUUUUCUAAUUUCCCGUGUACUCCGGGCAUAAUGAUUGUUUAUGAACGAAACUAUUAUCGGACAAGAGAUCAUUCACUGUACUGUCAAUAGAUAAUUAUCUAUAUUGUUUGUAGUAAAUGCACUGGUCCGGGGAAACGCUCGUUUGAAUGAACGUCAAUCCCUGAAUAAAUCCGUUCGAAUAAAAUACAUAGAGUAAUACGUGGUAUUAUUCAAUUUAUUCGCAGUUAUCGAGUUUGCAUAUUAUUAUCAUUUUAAUGGCGCCGUGACCACUAAGAUGACGGACCAGGUGAAUUUGGUCGUACAAUACUUCAAUCUAUAGAGUAUAAUUAUUGUAUAGUAAAGAUACGUACAUUAUACAUUAUUAACUCGAGGUAAUUGCCAAUAAUUUUCGUCCCGAUGUUAAUGGUCUUUUGAAAGCGGUAUUUUAAACAAUUGUAAAAUAAAAUAAUAUUGUGGACGACAGAAGAAAAACCUUGAAAUUUAAUGUCAACAGUAGAAAGAUAUCCCACAACAAGCUUUUCAUAAAAUAUUACGUUGCAAAUAAUAGAUCAUUUGAUUUUCUUUUUGAAUCGUUAAAGUAAGUAAGUAAUUUGUUGUACCUAUUUAGUCAGUUAAGUACUGUUGUCAUUUAAAGUUAUUAUAUGAUCCAUCAAAAUAUUAAAAAUUAUAGACGGCGAGUCUAAAAAGCAGACAAAUCGUACAAAACCAACAUUUAACACCUAAUAAAUUGAUGUUGAGUUUUACUUUAUUAAAAUAUAUGUGCAAUUGAGUUGUAUACUAUAAAAAAAAAAAAAAAAGGCAUACCAAUAAAAUUCUCCUAAUUAUAUUCCUAGCGUACUCAUGUGGUUGGGAAUAUAGAAAUCAUUUCAUAUUUCC